GAUGAAGAACGUAGCGAAAUGCGAUAAGUAAUGCGAAUUGCAGAAUUCCAGUGAGUCAUCGAAUCUUUGAACGCACAUUGCGCCCUUUGGUAUUCCGAAGGGCAUGCCUGUUCGAGCGUCAUUAUCACCCCUCAAGCCCUCGGCUUGGUGUUGGACGGUUUGGUGGAGGCCCCCUCGGGGGUUCCUGCCCCUCCCAAAGACAAUGACGGCGGCCUCGUUGGACCCCCGGUACACUGAGUUCUUCACGGGACACGUAUCGGACACAUGGGUUUACGGGACACGGUCUGCCUCCCCGCAGGGAGAAUCUUUCUAAGGUUGACCUCGGAUCAGGUAGGGAUACCCGCUGAACUUAAGCAUAUCAAUAAGCGGAGGA
RNAcentral lists this unclassified non-coding RNA (373 nucleotides) under soil metagenome. Its description in RNAcentral is "partial contains 5.8S ribosomal RNA, internal transcribed spacer 2, and large subunit ribosomal RNA". The stretch from base 1 to 121 matches the Rfam family "5.8S ribosomal RNA", at positions 35 to 154 of the family's 154-position model. The record is from RNAcentral.